AUACAACUAAACAUGCCUAAAGACUUUGAUUUUAUUUUUAUAUUGGUAAUUCAUAUUUACCAUGUUGAAAAUGGAAAAAAAAAAUACAAGUGUUAGGUCUGUAGGACAUGCCUGGGUUCAAAAUUGUGUUUGUAUAGUAGCAGCCACGUACACUUUAAGAAGAUGAAGUUGUUAAGCGAAGGGUUGAAUGUUUAAUGCAGUUUAGGUAGUUGUUCAAUGUCUUUAAUUACUAGACGUCCCUGUACAUUCAUUUUAUUGAGUCAAAUAUCAAUCUCAUUCAGAGAUAUGAGUGGUUGAUUAUUUAGAUUAGCCAACUUGCUUUUCUUUUCUUUUUAUAACACAUACUCUUAAUUCCUAUGUUCUCAGUACAAAUUUAGUCUUGUUGCACGGCCCAUCAGGUGGAUGUAUGAUUUAGAAAACAUAAAAUCAAGAAUUGCAUGGCAAGGAGAGAAAACUUUCAUAUGAGUUGUAUCUGAAAGUUUUGUUCAUCUCAAAGGUCUUAACGUAUCUUGUGCUGCUUUGGUGGUUUUGGAGGGUUCCUGUUGCCUCCAUAUCACAACAACUUGUGCAACCCUUUGGGAAAGUGCUAUCAUGGAGUGCUGGAGGAAUUUUAAAUGAAAAUGUUAUGAUAGGAAUAAUACCUUGGUUGAUAUUCUCUACCAGGGUUAGCAAAUUUGUUUGUCGACUGUUCAAGUUGAAAGAAUUGAAGUGAUCGUCCUGUGAAGUUGUCUUGAGGGGAAAGUAAUUUGGUAUGAUUUGCUUUACCUUAUAACCACAAUAUCUAAGCAUCAUGUACUACAUUUUGUUUUUAUAAACGGGAGUAAGAGGAAUCAAACAGGAGAUGUCUUUUAAUAUUAGGAAGAAAAUUAUCAUUAAACUAAUAGCUAUCAUGCAUUUUGUUUACAACUAAAAUAUAAAUAAGAAUAAUAAUUUAUGUCUUUACGAUAUAUAUAUAUAAAAACAAACAUCUUGAGAAUGAAACUCCAAUGCUCAUUUAUGGAAAAUGAAAAUGAGAUUGUCGAGUUUAGUUUAGACAAGUUUUACAAAAGCUCAAAACCAAACUAAAUAAAUCAGACCAUUCGCGGUUUGAUUUGGUAGCUAGGUGUGGAGUAAUUAUAUAUAACAUAUAAAUUAUAAUUAAAGGUGAGAGGGAGAUGCAUGGCAAUGGCAAUGGCAUGGCCAACGGACACAUCCUUUUUAUUUAAAUGUUUUUUUUUAUAAAAACAUUUAAUUUAAAUAUUGAUUGAAUUGGAAAUGGGUGGGAUAUGUUUUAUAUUGUAACGAUCUUUUUCUUUUUUGUGAAUGGU
RNA transcript from Prunus avium (sweet cherry), 1307 nucleotides. It is a transcript of the gene named protein GET1-like, with no coding region annotated. NCBI's taxonomy places the organism in Eukaryota, Viridiplantae, Streptophyta, Magnoliopsida, Rosales, Rosaceae. The record is from RefSeq and is a predicted model, not a curated record.